CAAACGCAACAUUUGCUGUCAAACUUUCAGUGUCGUUCCUCUUCCAAAGCUGUGGCGCAGUUUACGUUCUCGUCUGGAUGAAGACUGAAGUCCUCAAGAUGAGUGAGGAGGAGUUUCCAGCCUCCAGCUGUCUAUGAAGAGCGACCGAUCCAACGAUCAUCCUCCAGACUUCAGUAAAGAACCUAAACCCUCAGAGACAAAAAGACGGAGAGUAGAGUCUGCAGCCUCCAGCUGUCUGUCUAUGAAGAGCGACCGAUCCAACGAUCAUCCUCCAGACUUCAGUAAAGAACCUAAACCCUCAGAGACAAAUGUGGACAGGAAUCAGCUGCUGAGGUUCAUCCACUGCUGUGCUGCCUCUGACGUCCAGCAGGAGGCAGCAUCCGGCCUGCUGAGGACUCUGCAGCACCGCUUGGAUCUGUCCUGCCAGUCCUUUGUGGAUCUACAAGAGGAGGAUCAGACCGAGCCUCUGAGUCUGACUGCUGAUGACUGCAGGGCUGCAUCCAUCAUCCUGAAACACUGCAGCCGGGACACUCAGCUCCACCUGCAGGACUGUGAGGUGGAGGACGGAGGACUGGACCUGCUGUUUCCUGUCCUGGACAGGGUCCGUCUCAGAGUCAGUAAAAGUGUCCUCCUCCAGCUGCUGUCCCUGAUUCCUGUCCACUCUGAGAGGGACACAGUGAGACGGGCCGAGUCCCUGUGUGGAGCUCUGGGUGGAGAGCUGGACCUCAGUCACACCACACUGGACCAGAGGGUCUGUGGAGGUCUGGUCCAGAUGCUGGACUCCUGUGAAGGACUGACUGAGCUGGACCUCAGUCACUGUCAGCUCAGAGACCAGCUGCUGCUGGUCCUCAUCACACAUCUGCACAAAGUCCAGGUCCUGGAGUGAGUCUCAGACCACUUCCUUCUCUGGGAGGCAUGUCUCAUGUUUUUCCAAGUGUCAGCAGGUGUUAACAACUCUGGGACUAAAUGGAGGCUUCACACACUGUAGAUGUUAAACUUUUUCCAUUUUUCCAGCCUCUCCAGACGUUUCCUCUCUACUCUGUUCAUCAGCUGUAGAAAGAUGUUUCACCAUGCUGGAUGGAUCUCCAACAACCUGCUCCUCUGUUCUCUGUUUCUGAGCCAUGCUGCAUUUAUUUGAUUCAUCCAGAAGCUUUGAUUUUCCUCUCAGUGGAAACACUGCCUGCAGUUCACCUGAAAACCCAGAAUUUUUCUCUCCUGACUGAUGGUCUCAGCUGAGUCAGUCGAGGUUUCUCUGUUGCACUGAGGAGACCAGAAUUUUUAGUUUUUUUACAGAAUCUGGUGCAAACAGUUUAUUUUUAGUGAAUUUUCAAAUUAGACGCGUAGAAUAAAAUGAUUAUGAUGAAUUGUUGUGUGAUUUUAAGUCUAGAUUUGGUUCAUUUCUGGACAGAACUACACACCACGAGUCACAGAGUUGAACAUCUGAAGCUUCUUUUUGUUUUUUACAGUUUGUGGCUCUGAUAAAUGGAGUCAUUUAGUUUUUUAAAGACGUCACUUCCGUUAAUCUCAGCAGCAGGUUUAAGGUUCAGAGGCUUCAGAUCCAGGACUUGAACUAAAGAAUAUUCCAGAUUCACAGAGUUUUAGAUGGACCCAAACACACCUUCACUGGCAGCUGAUGAUGGAUUUAGAGAAGAUGAUGGAAACAAACUUAUUGUAGAGGAAAAUGAGGUUGUUUACAGGAAGUUGUCCCAGAAAAACUGACUCUGCUUUUAUGUUUGAUCCUGUUGAUUGACUGAUGAGCUUCUCUGACCUUCUGUCAACAUGUUAUCAGAUGGAGGGAUAAAUGAGUUGUGUGUUUGUGUUGCAGUCUGAGCCACAAUAAGAUCACAGAUGCUUCCACAGAUGUGCUCCUCCAGCUGAUCUCCAUCCACUCCUCCAUCCACACUGUGAGACUCUUCAGCAACGACAUCGUGGACAGAAGACCCUUUAAGAAGCACAAGCAGUUUGAAAUCUGGUGAAGCAGUCAGGAGGUCAUGUGAUCAUCAGGGAGGAACUGUUGGAUGUUGUCAUUAAAAAGCCUUUUCUCCUCAUGAUCAGAUGAAAACAUGGAGUUCAUUCUGGUCAUCAGUAGUGUGUGAUGGAGAGACUUUAGUUGAAACAAGCUUUGAUUUUUACCUCAUUAGAUUCUCUUUGCUUUUUACAAUCAAUCAGACGACACUUUAUCUGGAGGCAAAGAGCAGCCAGCAGUGUUUUCUAAAACUUCACCACCUAUGUUUGACAUUAUUAGUUAGUGGAGCUCAUAUUUCUGUUUGCUACCAUGUAAUGAUCGUCUUAAAAUUAUUUUUUUAUUGUGACAAAACAGAGACUAUAACUGUCAGUGUUGUGAAUAGGCUGAAGUGAUAUUUUUCUACUGCUGUGAUAACUGUAUUUAUUCUUGUUUGCAUGUUCCAGUGGAGGGAGAGUAAAAUGACUCUCUGAUAGCACCUCAGAGGAAUGAAGCAAGAAGAGUUCAUUCAGGACUAAACUGUUUGGUACAUUCCUAGAACUGGAAGAAACCAUCAGAAAACUGGAAACAUGUUGAGGAUUUUUCACUCACAUUUGAAAUAAAGUCAUCCAAGAGAUGAUGUUUCUUCCUGUGCUGGUUCUCUCUUC
Long non-coding RNA from Amphiprion ocellaris (clown anemonefish), 2610 nucleotides. NCBI's taxonomy places the organism in Eukaryota, Metazoa, Chordata, Actinopteri, Pomacentridae. The record is from Ensembl.